This 314-nucleotide non-coding RNA is filed under the name Cajanus cajan (pigeon pea). Lineage: Eukaryota; Viridiplantae; Streptophyta; Magnoliopsida; Fabales; Fabaceae. The record is from Rfam by way of RNAcentral.
GAAAGAUGAAAAGGACUUUGAAAAGAGAGUCAAAGAGUGCUUGAAAUUUUUGGGAGGGAAGCGGAUGGGGGUCGGUGGUAUGUCUCAGUCGGAUGUGGAAUGGUGUGAGCCGGUCUGCCGAUCGACUCUGUGUUAUCUGCGUUUUAUUGUGUUAUAACUGAAUUUUGAACCAAACCCCCCACAUCGUGUGUUUAAGCCUUUAACAGUAAAAGACGGUCCUUGGGAGACGACCUAGGAGUCACUUCCUAUUAUUACAUUUAAUUGCAAUUAUUUGACCAGAUACGGCUUCGAUCACUAACCCACCCGAGGGACGG